RNAcentral lists this ribosomal RNA (481 nucleotides) under uncultured bacterium. RNAcentral describes it as "partial 16S ribosomal RNA". It matches the Rfam family "Bacterial small subunit ribosomal RNA", at positions 28 to 523 of the family's 1533-position model. The record is from RNAcentral.
GACGAACGCUGGCGGCGUGCUUAACACAUGCAAGUCGAGCGGUAAGGCUCUUUCGGGAGUACACGAGCGGCGAACGGGUGAGUAACACGUGAGCAAUCUGCCCUUCACUUUGGGAUAACCUCCGGAAACGGUGGCUAAUACCGAAUAUGACCACUUCACGCAUGUGAUGGUGGUGGAAAGUUCUGGCGGUGGAGGAUGAGCUCGCGGCCUAUCAGCUUGUUGGUGAGGUAAUGGCUCACCAAGGCUUCGACGGGUAGCCGGCCUGAGAGGGUGACCGGCCACACUGGGACUGAGACACGGCCCAGACUCCUACGGGAGGCAGCAGUGGGGAAUAUUGGACAAUGGGCGAAAGCCUGAUCCAGCAACGCCGCGUGAGGGAUGACGGCCUUCGGGUUGUAAACCUCUUUCAGUACCGACGAAGCGAAAGUGACGGUAGGUACAGAAGAAGGACCGGCCAACUACGUGCCAGCCGCCGCAGUAA